CAAUAGCGUAUAUUAAAGUUGUUGCAGUUAAAAAGCUCGUAGUUGGACCUUGGACCUGGACAGGCGGUCCGCCUCACGGCGAGUACUGUCUUGCUGGGUCUUUCCUCUUGGUGAUCUGUUGUUUCGGCAGCAGGGAACCAGGACCUUUACUUUGAAAAAAUAAGAGUGUUCAAAGCAGGCUCGACGCCGGAAUAUAUUAGCAUGGAAUAAUAAAAUAGGACGUGCGGUUCUAUUUUGUUGGUUUUUGGAAUCGCCGUAAUGAUUAAUAGGGACAGUCGGGGGCAUUAGUACUCACAUGCUAGAGGUGAAAUUCUUGGAUUUUGUGAAGACUAACUUCUGCGAAAGCAUUUGCCAAGGAUGUUUNCAUUA
This 369-nucleotide ribosomal RNA is filed under the name uncultured eukaryote. RNAcentral describes it as "partial 18S ribosomal RNA". It matches the Rfam family "Eukaryotic small subunit ribosomal RNA", at positions 592 to 975 of the family's 1831-position model. The record is from RNAcentral.